RNAcentral lists this long non-coding RNA (1147 nucleotides) under Chelonoidis abingdonii (Abingdon island giant tortoise). RNAcentral's name for it is "lncRNA (ENSCABG00000010296.1)". The record is from RNAcentral. Lineage: Eukaryota; Metazoa; Chordata; Testudines; Testudinidae.
GCAUGUGUGUGCCCCGCCCCCUUCAGGGGCGGGUGUUCAUUGGCUUGCUGCAAGGCCCCACCCACCCACACCUCAGCCUAUCAGGCGCUGGUGGUCCUGGUGGCCUAUUGGCCACCAGUGCUGUCAAGCAGUGGGCAAGGCGGGCAGGCCAGCCAGCCGAUGGCAUCCAUGUGCCCCCCCCCCCAAGUGGCAGCAAGGGGCACAGCACCCCCCCAGCCAGGGGGAGGAUGUGUCCAUGUGCCCCCUGGUGGUAGAAAGGGGCACCACCACCCCCAGCCAGAGGGAGGAUGUGCCCAUGUGCCCCCUGGUGGCAGCAAGGGGCACUGCCCCCCCCAGCCAGGGGGAGGAUGUGUCCAUGUGCCCCCUGGUGGCAGAAAGGGGCACUGCAACCCCCCACCCCAGCCAGGAGGUGGGUAUGUUCGUGCGCCACCUGGUGGCUGCAACGGGUACUGUGUCCUCCCAUGUGCCACUUUUCCCUGCCGUGGGGGGAGGGGUUUGGCUGGAGUCGCUGUUUUAUCCCCGCCCUGAGGGUUGGGCACAGGAAGAGCCGGGGAGAGAACCCAGGAGUCCUGGCUCCCAGCCCCCCCUGCUCUAACCACCGGCCCCCACUCCCCUCCCAGAGCCGGGGAGAGAACCCAGGAGUCCUGGCUCCCAGCCCCCCUGCUCUAACCCACCAGACCCCACUCCCCUCUCAGAGCCAGGGAGAGAACCCAGGCAUCAUGGCUCCUCACCUUAGGGGGGGCAGGGGGUACUCAGAUGUUAAUGACCCCCCCACUGAAGCGGCAGUAAAGGAAUUCGAGGGCGGGGUUUCCGGCUGGACGGGAAGGAUCUCGCCAGGGUUCUCUGGGUCAUUGGAUUUAGGUGGAGCCAAAGGCCAUUAUCCAGUGGUGGGGAGUCGUGUGGAUCAGAACCGCAUCCAUACAAUGCUGCGUAGGGUGUGCACCCCCCCCCCAGACACUGGGGUCUGGGAGAAGCUGAGGGGACGGGGCGGGCAGGAGGGUGCGGUCCACCGGGAUCCGAUCCGAAGAAGUGGGAGCACAACUAGUGGCCCCAUGGGUGUGAUCCAGAACACCAGAGCGAGCUUCCUUCCCAGAGCUGGGGAGAGAACCCAGGAGUCCUGGCUCCCAGCCCCCCUGCUCUAACCCAC